GACGAACGCUGGCGGCGCGCUUAACACAUGCAAGUCGAACGGAAAGGCCUGCUUUCUCUUGUGGAUUGCGGGUACUCGAGUGGCGAACGGGUGAGUACCACGUGAGUGAUCUGCCCCCAACUUGGGUAUAAGCCUGGGAAACUGGGUCUAAUUCCCGAUAGGACUGCAGGGUGGUGCCUGUGGUGGAAAACGAUUUUCUAGUGGUUGGGGAUGAGCUCGCGGCCUAUCAGCUUGUUGGUGGGGUAAUGGCCUACCAAGGCGGCGACGGGUAGCCGGCCUGAGAGGGUGGACGGCCACAUUGGGACUGAGAUACGGCCCAGACUCCUACGGGAGGCAGCAGUGGGGAAUAUUGCACAAUGGGCGGAAGCCUGAUGCAGCGACGCCGCGUGGGGGAUGACGGCCUUCGGGUUGUAAACUCCUUUCGACCGCGAGGAAGCCACCUGGUUGGAAGGGUGGUGACGGUAGUGGUAGAAGAAGCACCGGCUAACUACGUG
Molecule: ribosomal RNA, 494 nt
Filed under: uncultured bacterium
Lineage: Bacteria
Description: partial 16S ribosomal RNA
Rfam family: Bacterial small subunit ribosomal RNA
Source: RNAcentral